Long non-coding RNA from Triplophysa rosa, 1846 nucleotides. RefSeq lists it as uncharacterized. Lineage: Eukaryota; Metazoa; Chordata; Actinopteri; Cypriniformes; Nemacheilidae. The transcript is spliced from 4 exons. The record is from RefSeq and is a predicted model, not a curated record.
CAGAGAAAGAUAAGCAUAUUGCUUAAAUGCACUAGAAAUCAUCUUGGAUAAAAGCUCCAGCCAAAUGCACUUAUUUUAUAUAUUGUAAUACGUACUACUAUCAUGGUAUAACUUUUUUUUCAUAUCGUGAUUUAAGAUUCUGCUGGUCAUACUGCUGACUCCUAGCUUGAGCCCUUGACUCCGCCCCUCUGUGGUGCAGUGUGUCAAAGUGGAAAUCUAGCUGACCUAUAGUGUGUGUUGUUACGAUGCAUGUGGGUGUUCUGUGUAUCCAUGCAUGUGUGUGUUCUUGAGUAGAACCCAGUUUUGAGGAACAGCCCAGAUCUCAGUAUGUGGAACCAGAACCUGAACCUGAGCCUGAGCCUGAGCCAGAAUACGAAGAUGUUCAAGUAGCCAGUGAUCAUUAUGAAACGCACAUAGAGUCUCAGCUGCCAUAUGAGGCGAUAGUGGAACCAGACAACAUCUAUGAAGAGCCUGCACCGGUGGAGGAACAGAAAACGUAUGAUCAGGCUGGUGACCGUGGUGUUUGUGCCAGGGCUCUGUAUGACUACCAGGCUGCGGAUGACACCGAGAUCUCAUUUGACCCUGAUAAUAUCAUUACCAGCAUUGAGAUGAUCGAUGAAGGCUGGUGGCGAGGAUACGGUCCGGACGGUCAUUUUGGAAUGUUUCCGUCCAAUUACGUUGAACUUAUCUAACACAGCUCAACCUAUCCCGCACCCUCCAUCGGAGUCGGCCUGCGUUGAUUUGUCCUGCGCAGAUUCAACAGAUCUCUGGGGCUUUGAGCAAAAUGGGAUCGGUAUAUUUGAUUGAAAAGACUGAAACUAAAAUCAUGCACCAAAAGAGUGGUAAUCAUGUGAUCGGGGGUAUUUAAACUCUUGAAAGUGAUCUUCUGUAUACUGUAUUGGUAGUUUUCUUUUGUUCGUAUUAUUUCAUUUCAAGCUGUCCAUUAAUUUCACAAAACAAUACUGAUGCUGGCAGACGCCCUCAGCAGAGACGACCCAAUAGUUGCAGGAAUCCUUGUAAUAUGGACGGGAUGAAAGUCAUGCUUGUGAUGUUGUUCCCGUCACAUCUUUUUAGACUGAACCUUUGUGCGGUUUUUCUUUUUAGCUUUUCAAACAUUAAGAUUUCAACAUAAUAAAGGAAACAUUUUUCUGUUUUCGAGAUGUUCAGCGCAGCUAAGUUUAUAGUUUGAACGUAAUUUUGCCUUGAUUUUGUCCUCUCCACAAGACUGGGUUGGACUGCCUUGGUUUUUUUUCCACAGAUGUCUUGGUACAGUGUUUACUGAGAAAUAGACGUGACAAGUUAAUUUGCUGUUUCCUAUAGUCAGCUUUGGUUUUGAUGGUAUUGUCACCAUAGCUGUUAGCUUCAGUGCUUAAGAAUCAGCGUGGGUUUAACAUUUCUUUAAGACUUGUAUACCACAGCUUUCCUGUCUACUCAGAAAUGUGGAAAAUAUUAAUACUGUGAUUUUUAGGUUUCAGGGAUCCGUCAUUCUGUCAUCUUACUGCCUUGGGGUCUCGGGUUGGGUCUGUAUUACACGUGUGACGCCUGUAUGCCGAGUAUUUGAGUGGAUGCACCAAGACUCGAAUAAAAUCACAUCAGUUGUUUCUCCACUCUUUUGAUUUUUAUUAAUCACGUACUUGCAUAUACUGUCAGUGGGGAGGUAGAGUAUUUUUGUGGAGAUUUUCAAGAUUUAUUUUAAUAAAGACCCAUAUGGAAACAUCAAAAGAUCAUAAAAUCGUUUGACAGUGUGGUGUUAGACACGUUGUUAGAGGUCAUUGUGAAUAUCUAACAAGUCUGAACAAUGUUGUUACUUACAUUAAAAGAAUAAAUUAAAGAGUUUUAAAAUGGA